Molecule: ribosomal RNA, 429 nt
Filed under: Acidobacteriota bacterium
Lineage: Bacteria; Pseudomonadati; Acidobacteriota
Description: Acidobacteria bacterium partial 16S ribosomal RNA
Rfam family: Bacterial small subunit ribosomal RNA
Source: RNAcentral
UGGGGAAUUUUGGACAAUGGGGGAAACCCUGAUCCAGCCAUCCCGCGUGUGCGAUGAAGGCCUUCGGGUUGUAAAGCACUUUUGGCAGGAAAGAAACGUCAUGGGUUAAUACCCCGUGAAACUGACGGUACCUGCAGAAUAAGCACCGGCUAACUACGUGCCAGCAGCCGCGGUAAUACGUAGGGUGCAAGCGUUAAUCGGAAUUACUGGGCGUAAAGCGUGCGCAGGCGGUUCGGAAAGAAAGAUGUGAAAUCCCAGAGCUCAACUUUGGAACUGCAUUUUUAACUACCGGGCUAGAGUGUGUCAGAGUGAGGAGAGAUUCCGCGUGUAGCAGUGAAAUGCGUAGAUAUGCGGAGGAACACCGAUGGAGAAGGCAGCCUCCUGGGAUAACACUGACGCUCAUGCACGAAAGCGUGGGGAGCAAACAGG